GACGAACGCUGGCGGCGUGCUUAACACAUGCAAGUCGAACGGUAAGGCCCUUCGGGGUACACGAGUGGCGAACGGGUGAGUAACACGUGGGUGAUCUGCCCUGCACUUCGGGAUAAGCCUGGGAAACUGGGUCUAAUACCGGAUAGGACCCUGGGAUGCAUGUCCUGGGGUGGAAAGCUUUUGCGGUGUGGGAUGGGCCCGCGGCCUAUCAACUUGUUGGUGGGGUGAUGGCCUACCAAGGCGACGACGGGUAGCCGGCCUGAGAGGGUGACCGGCCACACUGGGACUGAGAUACGGCCCAGACUCCUACGGGAGGCAGCAGUGGGGAAUAUUGCACAAUGGGCGCAAGCCUGAUGCAGCGACGCCGCGUGAGGGGUGACGGCCUUCGGGUUGUAAACCUCUUUCAGCACCGACGAAGCGCAAGUGACGGUAGGUGCAGAAGAAGGACCGGCCAACUACGUGCCAGCAGCCGCAGUAA
Molecule: ribosomal RNA, 478 nt
Filed under: uncultured bacterium
Lineage: Bacteria
Description: partial 16S ribosomal RNA
Rfam family: Bacterial small subunit ribosomal RNA
Source: RNAcentral